Molecule: ribosomal RNA, 283 nt
Filed under: Ehrlichia ewingii
Lineage: Bacteria; Pseudomonadati; Pseudomonadota; Alphaproteobacteria; Rickettsiales; Anaplasmataceae
Description: partial 16S ribosomal RNA
Rfam family: Bacterial small subunit ribosomal RNA
Source: RNAcentral
UGUAAUACUGUAUAAUCCCUGCGGGGGAAAGAUUUAUCGCUAUUAGAUGAGCCUACGUUAGAUUAGCUAGUUGGUAAGGUAAUGGCUUACCAAGGCUAUGAUCUAUAGCUGGUCUGAGAGGACGAUCAGCCACACUGGAACUGAGAUACGGUCCAGACUCCUACGGGAGGCAGCAGUGGGGAAUAUUGGACAAUGGGCGAAAGCCUGAUCCAGCUAUGCCGCGUGAGUGAAGAAGGCCUUCGGGUUGUAAAGCUCUUUCAAUAGGGAAGAUAAUGACGGUACA